Molecule: ribosomal RNA, 275 nt
Filed under: uncultured bacterium
Lineage: Bacteria
Description: partial 16S ribosomal RNA
Rfam family: Bacterial small subunit ribosomal RNA
Source: RNAcentral
GCGUGUGUGAUGAAGGCCUUAGGGUUGUAAAGCACUUUCAAUGGUGAAGAUGAUGACGGUAACCAUAGAAGAAGCCCCGGCUAACUUCGUGCCAGCAGCCGCGGUAAUACGAAGGGGGCGAGCGUUGUUCGGAAUUACUGGGCGUAAAGGGCGCGCAGGCGGUCAAUUCAGUUAGGUGUGAAAGCCCCGGGCUUAACCUGGGAACUGCACUUAAUACUGAUUGACUAGAAAACGGAAGAGGAGAGUGGAAUUCCCAGUGUAGAGGUGAAAUUCGU